AUACGGAGGGGGCUAGCGUUGUUCGGAAUUACUGGGCGUAAAGCGCACGUAGGCGGAUUAAAAAGUUAGAGGUGAAAUCCCAGGGCUUAACCCUGGAACUGCCUUUAAAACUAGUAGUCUAGAGUUCGAGAGAGGUGAGUGGAAUUCCAAGUGUAGAGGUGAAAUUCGUAGAUAUUUGGAGGAACACCAGCGGCGAAGGCGGCUCACUGGCUCGAUACUGACGCUGAGGUGCGAAAGCGUGGGGAGCAAACAGGAUUAGAAACCCCGGUAGUCC
This 274-nucleotide ribosomal RNA is filed under the name uncultured bacterium. Its description in RNAcentral is "partial 16S ribosomal RNA". It matches the Rfam family "Bacterial small subunit ribosomal RNA", at positions 523 to 796 of the family's 1533-position model. The record is from RNAcentral.